RNAcentral lists this ribosomal RNA (881 nucleotides) under uncultured bacterium. Its description in RNAcentral is "bacterial SSU rRNA". It matches the Rfam family "Bacterial small subunit ribosomal RNA", at positions 8 to 853 of the family's 1533-position model. The record is from RNAcentral.
AGAGUUUGAUCCUGGCUCAGGACGAACGCUGGCGGCGUGCCUAAUACAUGCAAGUCGAACGAACUCUGGUAUUGAUUGGUGCUUGCAUCAUGAUUUACAUUUGAGUGAGUGGCGAACUGGUGAGUAACACGUGGGAAACCUGCCCAGAAGCGGGGGAUAACACCUGGAAACAGAUGCUAAUACCGCAUAACAACUUGGACCGCAUGGUCCGAGUUUGAAAGACGGCUUUGGCUAUCACUUUUGGAUGGUCCCGCGGCGUAUUAGCUAGAUGGUGGGGUAACGGCUCACCAUGGCAAUGAUACGUAGCCGACCUGAGAGGGUAAUCGGCCACAUUGGGACUGAGACACGGCCCAAACUCCUACGGGAGGCAGCAGUAGGGAAUCUUCCACAAUGGACGAAAGUCUGAUGGAGCAACGCCGCGUGAGUGAAGAAGGGUUUCGGCUCGUAAAACUCUGUUGUUAAAGAAGAACAUAUCUGAGAGUAACUGUUCAGGUAUUGACGGUAUUUAACCAGAAAGCCACGGCUAACUACGUGCCAGCAGCCGCGGUAAUACGUAGGUGGCAAGCGUUGUCCGGAUUUAUUGGGCGUAAAGCGAGCGCAGGCGGUUUUUUAAGUCUGAUGUGAAAGCCUUCGGCUCAACCGAAGAAGUGCAUCGGAAACUGGGAAACUUGAGUGCAGAAGAGGACAGUGGAACUCCAUGUGUAGCGGUGAAAUGCGUAGAUAUAUGGAAGAACACCAGUGGCGAAGGCGGCUGUCUGGUCUGUAACUGACGCUGAGGCUCGAAAGUAUGGGUAGCAAACAGGAUUAGAUACCCUGGUAGUCCAUACCGUAAACGAUGAAUGCUAAGUGUUGGAGGGUUUCCGCCCUUCAGUGCUGCAGCU